AAAAGGAGUGUUAUGGAACUCUU
RNAcentral lists this small nuclear RNA (23 nucleotides) under Arabidopsis thaliana (thale cress). RNAcentral's name for it is "snRNA_13475". Lineage: Eukaryota; Viridiplantae; Streptophyta; Magnoliopsida; Brassicales; Brassicaceae. The record is from RNAcentral.